Molecule: ribosomal RNA, 369 nt
Filed under: uncultured eukaryote
Lineage: Eukaryota
Description: SSU rRNA
Rfam family: Eukaryotic small subunit ribosomal RNA
Source: RNAcentral
AGCUCCAAUAGCGUAUAUUAAAGUUGUUGCAGUUAAAAGCUCGUAGUUGAAUUUGUGGCGGCGGGCGCGGUCCGUUUGGUACUAUCGCCCGCCGGCAUCCUCGGGCGGAGCCUGUGUGGCAUUGAGUUGUCGCGCAGGGGAUGCCCGUCGUUUACUGUGAAAAAUUAGAGUGUUCAAAGCAGGCUUACGCCGUUGAAUAUGUUAGCAUGGAAUAAUGAGAUAGGACCUUGGUACUAUUUUGUUGGUUUGCGCACCGAGGUAAUGAUUAAUAGGGACAGUUGGGGGUAUUCGUAUUCCAUUGUCAGAGGUGAAAUUCUUGGAUUUCUGGAAGACGAACUACUGCGAAAGCAUUUACCAAGGAUGUUUUCA